UAACAACAGAGUAAUAGCAAGAUGGUAAUAGGAUGAACAACAGUAAACGAAAUCAAGAACAAAUAUUGAAUACUGAAUACUGAAUAGAUAAAGAGAAAUCCGGAUUACAAAAGGUCAAGAACACAGUGUCUGCGGAAUAAAACUUAGAUAAGAACUUGUCCUUGAAAAUGUAAAGUACAUGCUACUUAUAACAAAAUAUUCUGAAACCCUAAUACUCAAAACGACGCAGUAUUGGGACGGAUUAAGAACUGUACUCGACCCAGGUGGUCGUGUGAGAGGUCGAGUGAUAAGCUCGAGUCUUCUUUUUCUUCCUUGUUCUCGAGUGUCUGGUUGAGUGCGGAAUGAAGAAGACUCUGAAGCUGGCAGUCGAGUAUGUAGUCGAGUGAUAAAGAUGAUGGUACUCGGCUUGCUGGUAGAGUAGUGUGAUCGAGUGAAGGUGAAGUGGUGGAGGUGAUGAUACUUGACCAGGGGGUCGAGUGGUGUGAUGAGUGUCUCUCUUGGCGAUACUCGACUUGGGGGUCGGGUGGUGACGUGAAGUGCUGAGGUCUUCUCCUCAACCAAGGGGUCGAGUGGUCUGUUGAAGUCGUGAAGCGUCUACUCGACCAGGGGGGUCGAGUGGUUUGACAUGAUCAGGUCCGCUUCUUCCAGUUAGCUCGUCAACAACUGCAAAUCACCUGAAAUCAACACAAAUAUGCAAUAUGCAUGCAAAACUAUCCUAAACAUGCAAAGUGAUCACAAAUGAUGAGAAAUGAUAUAAAACAGUGAUGAUAUGAUGCUAAAGUGAUGACAAAUGGAUGCUCAAAACAUGCAAAAUACACACUUAUCACAAAGGUUUUAAAAAUCCUUGUAAAUUCUUUUAAAACUCUUGUAAAUCUUUUAAAAU
This 883-nucleotide small RNA is filed under the name Arabidopsis thaliana (thale cress). RNAcentral describes it as "ATSL201680". Lineage: Eukaryota; Viridiplantae; Streptophyta; Magnoliopsida; Brassicales; Brassicaceae. The record is from RNAcentral.